This 929-nucleotide ribosomal RNA is filed under the name Echinorhynchus gadi. Its description in RNAcentral is "partial large subunit ribosomal RNA". It matches the Rfam family "Eukaryotic large subunit ribosomal RNA", at positions 108 to 883 of the family's 3401-position model. The record is from RNAcentral. Lineage: Eukaryota; Metazoa; Acanthocephala; Palaeacanthocephala; Echinorhynchida; Echinorhynchidae.
GCCAUCAUUGAAUUCUACUACAUUACGUAGAUGAAAGUGUGAUGUUGGCGUCAAUAUCUAUAGUGCUGAUAAGUGAUGUAAGUUCGAUUGAACACGACAUCCCAAAGAGGGUGAAAGGCCCUUGACAUCACUACUUCGGUAUUCUGAUAAUGACGGUUGAGUAGAAUUGCUUGAGACCGCAGUUCGAAGAUGUGUGGCAAACCCCAUACAAGUCUAGAUAUAGUUGCGAGGCCGAUAGCGAACAAGUACCAUGAGGGAAAGUUGAAAAGUACUCUGAAAAGAGAGUUCACAAGUGCGUGAAACUGUACACUGUAAAGCGAAUGAUUGAGCGAUUAGAAUGUCGAUCACUCAAGUGUCAUGUAUGUUUCAAAGGUUUGCUGAAUCUUUGCUUGAAUUGUCAUGUGCAUGAUACUGUACUUGAUUGUGUCUGGAAUUGCUUGGUGGGCUAGCGCUAACAUAGCGAUCUGACGGAAAAGAGUCUCUUUUUGAGUCUCUUAGAGAAGAUUGCUUUUGAACUGUUUUAUGCAGUCGGUAAUGCUUGCCCACUUCUGAAAUAUGCCUGUAACUGUGUACACCGUAUGUGUGCAACUAUCGUAAAGUGAAAUUGUGCAUGUGUUGUCAGUAUGUUAAAAGGUUCGUGAAAAGCAAUUGUCUUUGCUGUGAAUCAUUCGAACCGUCUUGAAACACGGACUAAGGAGUUCAACUCGAACGCAAGUCGUUUUCUGAAACGAAAUUUAAAGGCAAAGUGAAAACAACUCUUGAUGAGAUGUUAACUGAUGCGUACGCGCUGAUGAUAAGCACAAGUGAUGAGUAGCACAGUUGUAAUUGUUGCUGACUGCACCUGAGCGUUCAGGUUGAGACCCGAAAGAUGGUGAACUAUGCCUGAGUAGAAUGAAGCCAGGGGAAACUCUGGUGGAGGUUCGUAGCGG